CAGUCGCCGCGGGAAUACAGAGGGUGCGAGCGUUAAUCGGAUUUACUGGGCGUAAAGCGUGCGUAGGCGGCUUCUUAAGUCGGAUGUGAAAUCCCUGAGCUUAACUUAGGAAUUGCAUUCGAUACUGGGAAGCUAGAGUAUGGGAGAGGAUGGUAGAAUUCCAGGUGUAGCGGUGAAAUGCGUAGAGAUCUGGAGGAAUACCGAUGGCGAAGGCAGCCAUAUGGCCUAAUACUGACGCUGAGGUACGAAAGCAUGGGGAGCAAACAGGAUUAGAUACCCCCGUAGUCCCUGUCUCUUAUAC
RNAcentral lists this ribosomal RNA (301 nucleotides) under uncultured bacterium. RNAcentral describes it as "partial 16S ribosomal RNA". It matches the Rfam family "Bacterial small subunit ribosomal RNA", at positions 509 to 807 of the family's 1533-position model. The record is from RNAcentral.